UUUAAAUUGAGAGUUUGAUCCUGGCUCAGGAUGAACGCUGGUGGCGUGCCUAAUACAUGCAAGUCGUACGCUAGCCGCUGAAUUGAUCCUUCGGGUGAAGUGAGGCAAUGACUAGAGUGGCGAACUGGUGAGUAACACGUAAGAAACCUGCCCUUUAGUGGGGGAUAACAUUUGGAAACAGAUGCUAAUACCGCGUAACAACAAAUCACACAUGUGAUCUGUUUGAAAGGUCCUUUUGGAUCGCUAGAGGAUGGUCUUGCGGCGUAUUAGCUUGUUGGUAGGGUAGAAGCCUACCAAGGCAAUGAUGCGUAGCCGAGUUGAGAGACUGGCCGGCCACAUUGGGACUGAGACACUGCCCAAACUCCUACGGGAGGCUGCAGUAGGGAAUUUUCCGCAAUGCACGAAAGUGUGACGGAGCGACGCCGCGUGUGUGAUGAAGGCUUUCGGGUCGUAAAGCACUGUUGUAAGGGAAGAAUAACUGAAUUCAGAGAAAGUUUUCAGCUUGACGGUACCUUACCAGAAAGGGAUGGCUAAAUACGUGCCAGCAGCCGCGGUAAUACGUAUGUCCCGAGCGUUAUCCGGAUUUAUUGGGCGUAAAGCGAGCGCAGACGGUUUAUUAAGUCUGAUGUGAAAUCCCGAGGCCCAACCUCGGAACUGCAUUGGAAACUGAUUUACUUGAGUGCGAUAGAGGCAAGUGGAACUCCAUGUGUAGCGGUGAAAUGCGUAGAUAUGUGGAAGAACACCAGUGGCGAAAGCGGCUUGCUAGAUCGUAACUGACGUUGAGGCUCGAAAGUAUGGGUAGCAAACGGGAUUAGAUACCCCGGUAGUCCAUACCGUAAACGAUGGGUGCUAGUUGUUAAGAGGUUUCCGCCUCCUAGUGACGUAGCAAACGCAUUAAGCACCCCGCCUGAGGAGUACGGCCGCAAGGCUAAAACUUAAAGGAAUUGACGGGGACCCGCACAAGCGGUGGAGCAUGUGGUUUAAUUCGAAGAUACGCGAAAAACCUUACCAGGUCUUGACAUACCAAUGAUCGCUUUUGUAAUGAAAGCUUUUCUUCGGAACAUUGGAUACAGGUGGUGCAUGGUCGUCGUCAGCUCGUGUCGUGAGAUGUUGGGUUAAGUCCCGCAACGAGCGCAACCCUUGUUAUUAGUUGCCAGCAUUUAGUUGGGCACUCUAAUGAGACUGCCGGUGAUAAACCGGAGGAAGGUGGGGACGACGUCAGAUCAUCAUGCCCCUUAUGACCUGGGC
Molecule: ribosomal RNA, 1248 nt
Filed under: Oenococcus oeni
Lineage: Bacteria; Bacillati; Bacillota; Bacilli; Lactobacillales; Lactobacillaceae
Description: bacterial SSU rRNA
Rfam family: Bacterial small subunit ribosomal RNA
Source: RNAcentral